AUGGGAAGGAGAAGCAGGAAGACAUCAACUGGCAAGGCGCCUCAGUCGACGCCGGUGACAGAACCGGUAAUCCAGGAGACCGGCGAUGCCAAUCGGACUUCUGUGACUUUCGCCAUACCAUUGUCGAGUGCCCAGCCUUCAGCGUCGACUGCGCAGACUCCAGCCGAUCCAUCUUCACUCUUCACUGCACAUCACGUCCCAGAGGACCAAGUGGGUGCUACCAAGGAGGCUAUACGCCAGGCGGGCAUCAUGAUGGAACAGAUGAAGGUGGUCCGGGAGGCCAGCCAAGCUGCUUACGACGCCAGCUCAGCUCUCCAGAGCAACGUCCAGGUUGGUUGA
RNAcentral lists this ribosomal RNA (339 nucleotides) under Triticum aestivum (bread wheat). RNAcentral's name for it is "partial small subunit ribosomal RNA". Lineage: Eukaryota; Viridiplantae; Streptophyta; Magnoliopsida; Poales; Poaceae. The record is from RNAcentral.